CCGGAAGUCGCGAAGGUUACCUCCAGCACUAGGAACUGUGAGAGCUGACUUUGCCAGUGGAGUCUUGCAUCGCGGUUGCGGUUUCUCUGGUCACCCUUGGGACUACAAAUUAAGAACCAUGGCUUUGCUUUGUUCACAACAAAACAGAAGACCAAGGCAGACAAGGUUAAUCAUUUUAAAACUUGCUUCAAGGACCAACAGCGUGUCUCCAACCACAGACACAAAAAUGCAUGGUCAUCUCAUUUGUGACAAGGAUAACCGUGCAGCGCAAUGAGACAAAGGAAGAAAUGUCAUCUGUAACAAGAAAUCCAAAACAGGAAAUAAUUUCUGAACUCCACUGUUCGGCUGCAGAAGGGGAUGUUGCCAGGUUGGCAGGGAUACUCAGUCAUUCUCCAUCUCUUCUCAACUCAGCCUCCGAAAAUGGCUGGACUGCCUUAAUGUAUGCUGCAAGGAAUGGGCACCCUGAUAUUGUCCAGCUUCUGCUGGAGAAAGGAUGUGACAGAUCACUUGUCAAUAAAUCAAGGCAAACUGCGCUGGAUAUCGCUGUGUUUUGGGGUUAUAAGCAUAUAGCUAACAUGUUAGCUAAUGCAAAAGGUGGGAAGAAGCCUUGGUUCCUAACCAGUGAAGUAGACGAAUGUGAAAAUUAUUUUAGCAGAACACUACUGGACCGGAAAAGUGACAAAAGGGCUAAUUCUGACUGGCUGCAGGCUAAGGAGAGCCACCCGGCCACAGUCUAUGUCCUUUUCUCAGACUUAAACCCCUUGGUCACUCUGGGUGGUAAUAAAGACAGUUCACAGCAGCCAGAAGUCAAGCUCUGCCAGCUGAACUACACGGAUGUGAAGGAUUACUUGGCUCAGCCUGAGACAGUCACCUUGGUGUUCCUCGGAGUAGAACUUGAGAUGCGGCGGAAAGGAUCGCACAAUUAUGCUGGGGGAGUCCCGGAGGAGGACGAGGAUGGUUUGGUUGCCUGGUUUGCUCUCGGUAUAGAACCUGGUGCCGCCGAAGAGUUUAAGCAAAGACAUGAAAACUGUUAUUUUCUUCACCCUCCGAUGCCAGCCCUUCUGCAGUUGAAAGAAAAAGAAGCUGGGGUCGUAGCUCAAGCAAGAUCUGUUCUUGCAUGGCACAGUCGAUAUAAGUUCUGCCCAACCUGUGGCAGCGCAACCAAAAUCGAAGAAGGUGGCUAUAAAAGAGUCUGUUUAAGAGAAAACUGCCCUAGUCUCCAUGGCGUCCACAAUACAUCUUAUCCAAGAGUCGACCCAGUAGUAAUCAUGCAGGUUAUCCAUCCAGAUGGAACCAAAUGUCUUUUAGGCAGGCAAAAGCGAUUUCCCCCAGGCAUGUUUACUUGUCUCGCUGGAUUUAUUGAACCUGGGGAGACAAUAGAAGAUGCCGUGCGGAGAGAAGUGGAAGAGGAAAGCGGAGUCAAAGUGGGCCAUGUUCAGUAUGUCUCUUGUCAGCCAUGGCCAAUGCCCUCCUCCUUAAUGAUUGGUUGUUUAGCUGUGGCAGUGUCUACAGAAAUUAAAGUUGACAAGAAUGAAAUAGAGGAUGCCCGAUGGUUCACCAGAGAACAGGUUAUGGAUGUCCUUACCAAAGGGAAGCAGCAAGCAUUCUUUGUACCACCAAGCCGCGCCAUAGCACAUCAGUUAAUCAAACACUGGGUUAGAAUGAACCCCAAUCUCUAAUGAAAACUACUAGCAUCUGUUGGAGUAUAAUUUAAUUAUAAUGCUACUUAUUUUUCAAUUUGUGAUGAAUCGAAGCUCAUAGCCUGACCCAGCAAAGCAAGCCUAUAAUUCCUGACAAUCAGGCCUGAGGCUGGAGGAUUGCAAAUUCAAGACCCACCUGCACCACAGAGUGAAUUUGAAAGCAUGCUGGACACCUUAGUGAAACCCUGUCUCAAAAUAAGGAAUAAGAAAAGUGGUGAGGCUAUUGCUCAAUGGUAGGGCGCUCGCAGACCCUGUACUUCAAUUCACUGUAACAGACACACAGAGAGCAGUCAACGCUUGCAUUGUCGUGAAAAUUAGCCAGCCUGCUAAAGAUACAGCUAGUGAAGAGAAGACAGAAUGAAAAAGGCGAGCCCAGGAGAUGGAAAAGUAUAAGCUUUGAUGCUACAAGGACAUGUGAGAGAUGGGCUGCGGUGAGGAGGCAGAGGUUCUAUGCAAUGCCGGUAAAUGCCUGUAUUUUCCAAAAGUUGUUGAGUAGGCAAGAACUGCAGGAAGUAAUUGUGAAAAUAAAUACCAAAAGCAACUUUCCUUCUUCUAUACCAUUCUUGGUAUUCUUCUUCUCCAAAUACUAAAGUAGAAAUCAAAACAGCUCCUAAAGUAAACAUGGAUUUAUUUGGUUUUGUUUUAAAAUCUUGAUGGUUUCAUGCAUGUGUGUACAUACUGGAUUUUGGCUGUUUUCUAUCCCCAUUCCUCUCCUUCACCACCCCCAUCUUUGCAACAAAUCCUCCUUCUCUUUGCAUAUUCAGUGUGUGUGUGACUGUGGGAGCCAGUUUUCAGGUUCCUAGUG
This is an RNA transcript of Onychomys torridus (southern grasshopper mouse), 2505 nucleotides long. It is a transcript of the gene named nudix hydrolase 12, with no coding region annotated. The transcript has 9 exons. The record is from RefSeq and is a predicted model, not a curated record. Lineage: Eukaryota; Metazoa; Chordata; Mammalia; Rodentia; Cricetidae.